This 541-nucleotide long non-coding RNA is filed under the name Equus caballus (horse). RNAcentral's name for it is "lncRNA (ENSECAG00000048911.1)". The record is from RNAcentral. Lineage: Eukaryota; Metazoa; Chordata; Mammalia; Perissodactyla; Equidae.
CACAAAGGUAGGGGGAGGGAAAGUGUGGGAUUAAUUUAAAUGACUUCAAAGGGUCUUUUUUGUUUCCUCUAAAUUUCAUUCUUUUUAAAUUGCAUCCCUGAGUUGUAAGCAGGUGCCGUCACAUCCAACUGGAUAGGAAUUGUGAAAUGCUCAAGCUAAUGGUCUCGCAACAAGAUCCUUAACCAAAGAAUACGAUGCCUAUUUUAUGUCAAAAAGACCCCAGAGACCUGCAAAAUCAGAAGUGCUUAGAGUAGGCAGAGAAUGGGAUUCACUGAGAGCUGGGGUUUUGUCAGGUGGCUUGUUUAACGUACAGAACCCUUUGGGAGGAGACCAUUGUGUCAAGUGUGAAAGAUGACGUGAGUGGAGCCACAUCAAAAUAAAGCCAGAGCAACCACUUCAGAGGAAUUGCCUUGCAAGCCUUGUUUUCCUUGUCUUCCAAACUGAACCAAACUACCAAUAUUCUGAAGAGUCAGCAAGGACAAGAGUAUCCUGUUUGUGAGGACUGAUAAAACUGGACUUUGCCUGAUGACCAAAUCUCGAG